Molecule: microRNA precursor, 74 nt
Filed under: Corchorus olitorius
Lineage: Eukaryota; Viridiplantae; Streptophyta; Magnoliopsida; Malvales; Malvaceae
Description: MIR473 microRNA precursor family
Rfam family: MIR473 microRNA precursor family
Source: Rfam by way of RNAcentral
UUUCUUCACUCUCCUUUUAAGGCUUCAAGCUUUAGUUUGAUUUUAGCUUGAAGCCUUUAGAGGAGAGUGAAAAA